This 442-nucleotide ribosomal RNA is filed under the name uncultured bacterium. RNAcentral's name for it is "bacterial SSU rRNA". It matches the Rfam family "Bacterial small subunit ribosomal RNA", at positions 338 to 795 of the family's 1533-position model. The record is from RNAcentral.
CCUACGGGAGGCAGCAGUGAGGAAUCUUCCACAAUGGGCGAAAGCCUGAUGGAGCAACGCCGCGUGCAGGAUGAAGGCCUUCGGGUUGUAAACUGCUUUUAUAAGUGAAGAAUAUGACGGUAACUUAUGAAUAAGCACCGGCUAACUACGUGCCAGCAGCCGCGGUCAUACGUAGGGUGCAAGCAUUAUCCGGAGUGACUGGGCGUAAAGAGUUGCGUAGGUGGUUUGUUAAGCAGGUAGUGAAAUCUGGCGGCUCAACCGUACAGGCUAUUACCUGAACUGGCAAACUCGAGAAUGGUAGAGGUAACUGGAAUUUCUUGUGUAGGAGUGAAAUCCGUAGAUAUAAGAAGGAACACCAAUGGCGUAGGCAGGUUACUGGACCAUUUCUGACACUAAGGCACGAAAGCGUGGGGAGCGAACGGGAUUAGAUACCCUGGUAGUC